GACAUAAAAAAGGUUCAAAAUUGUGCCUUUUAGCAUUUCCUUUACUUGUUCCAUGUGUUUUCUUGAUGUAUGUUCUCUUUGAUGGGUUGAAGGGGUUAGAUUUCACAAUAUCUGAGGCAAGACGACGGUACAAUAUUAAGCUCAUAUUGAGCUCGGUGAACAACUGUGAUAGCUUUGGAGGGAAGAAGCAAUAUGUGAACGAGGCUAGAAGCCAAGGGAAGUACCUCAGUCACAUCAGAUGAUGAUUUCUUUAGGAACUCUGUUGUGAAGGGUUUCUACACAAACCAUGUCAAGGAUAUAGAAGCAAAUGUCAUUACUUGGCAUCUAUACACUUCAGAAAUGUUACUCACCACCUUCAUAAUCAGAUCAAAUAUCGUACUGUAGUCGCCCCAUUGUUUUUCUUCAAUUAUGUGGAGCAUCAUCGUCCACAUCUUGUCGCAAAACAAUUUGAGGCCCUUGAUCAUGUUGACUUGAAUGAUGUUGGAGCUGAUCAGACAGAGAUAAAGUUCAAACAAAAUAAAAUUUUAUUCAUUCCAGUUUUUGAGAAACUCUUGUAGCCUCUAGUAUUCUAUGGCUUGCUAAACCACUAGGGUUGAUCUACUGUAAGGGGAUUUCUCCAAGACCUUGAGGUUAUUUAUAUUAUUCAGUUUUAUUUAAUUCUUUUCAAUUAUGUUCUUGUUCUUGUUUGCUUAAUUCAAGUUUCAUAUACAUGAUUGUUAGUUUUGAUUGA
Trifolium pratense (red clover) is the source of this 730-nucleotide long non-coding RNA. RefSeq lists it as uncharacterized. The transcript has 2 exons. The record is from RefSeq and is a predicted model, not a curated record. Lineage: Eukaryota; Viridiplantae; Streptophyta; Magnoliopsida; Fabales; Fabaceae.